Molecule: long non-coding RNA, 702 nt
Organism: Oreochromis niloticus (Nile tilapia)
Lineage: Eukaryota; Metazoa; Chordata; Actinopteri; Cichliformes; Cichlidae
Exons: 3
Source: RefSeq, a predicted model, not a curated record
GUGGGGCUGUGGUUUGUCAGAGAUCAGCUGUGAUUAUCUGGCAGCAGCGCUGAAGUCCAACCCCUCGUAUCCCAGUGUGCUGGACCUGAGUGGAGACUACAACAAGCUGCAGGAUUCAGGAGUGAAGCAGCUGUGUGUUCUUCUGGAGAAUCCAAGAUGUCGAUUUGAAACUCUGAGACUGAGUCACUGUGACCUGUCAGAGAGAAGCUGUGAAGCUCUGUCCUCAGGUCUCAGCUCUCAGACCUCUAAUCUGAGACAGCUGGACCUGAGUAACAUUAACCUGAAGGAUUCAGGCGUGAAGCUUCUGUCUGAAGGACUGAAGAGUCCACACUGUACACUGGAAACUCUCAGGUGAGAUCAAGCAUUUUUCUUUCAUCAACUGACAGAAUUAGCAGAUUAAUAAUAAGGCAGUCCUCUAAUAAGAGGAGAAGUGGAGGUGUUUUGAAGGGCAACAUACUCUUAUGUUAACAAGACAGGAAGUAAUUCCUGGGAACUGCUUCCUUUGUUAUUGUCUAAGUAGAAACCUGAUGAUAAAACAGUGAUGAGUUUGCAGAGGUCAAUCCACAGCACACAACACAACAAUGCUGUGUGUGCUGAAAGCAGACUUCUCACAGAUUCUGAGACUGCAGGUUUCAUCAAUGUCCAACCAAAAUUCACCGAAUCAGCAGUAAAUGAACGUCCAAAACUACGCUUCAUGUUUAA